RNAcentral lists this long non-coding RNA (199 nucleotides) under Physcomitrium patens. Its description in RNAcentral is "long non-coding RNA (PPAT_LNC013645)". Lineage: Eukaryota; Viridiplantae; Streptophyta; Bryopsida; Funariales; Funariaceae. The record is from RNAcentral.
CCUCAAAUCAUUCAGAUUUACGACGGUAUAAAAGGUAAGAAAAAAGAAAUUUGGAUUGAUUACUUUUUAAUGCAUAAAAUUGCUUUCGCAUGAUUGUAUGCAAAUUUGAAAGGAAUUCCAGGUGAAGUUUGUGAGCAUUGAAUUAUAUUGGAAGAGAAAGCUAUACCAGUAUGCCAAAGAUAACAUCGACUUAAUCCAA